Long non-coding RNA from Myotis brandtii (Brandt's bat), 406 nucleotides. RefSeq lists it as uncharacterized. The transcript is spliced from 4 exons. NCBI's taxonomy places the organism in Eukaryota, Metazoa, Chordata, Mammalia, Chiroptera, Vespertilionidae. The record is from RefSeq and is a predicted model, not a curated record.
CCACCAUGUGUUUGUUGGUCCUGGGAACUCAUUUCCUUGCUGAGACUUGCUGAGAGAAAGAGAAGAAGUUUUAGGAAGAACAGACCAUUUGUACAAAAUUGGGAAUGGCCAAUCCUCCCUCUGGUUUUAACCCAAGGACCAGUGGAUGACUGUCUCCCAUAUGAAAUCCUCUGAGCUCAUGUGUUGGACUCUGCCAGGACGUAGAGAAAGGGGCUGGAAAGAGAUGACAAAGAUUACUGUAUGUCAAAUUUAAUCAUAAUGCCGUCAGCUGUUCCCAUGGCUCAACUCCAUUUAUCCACUCCACUGAUUUCUCCUUCACUCUGGCUAAGUCAUCAUUUCCUGCAGGGGAUUUGACAGACUAAUUCCAGAGCUCCAGUCCCAGAAAAGCAGCAAAACCAGGCGGGUG